RNAcentral lists this ribosomal RNA (302 nucleotides) under uncultured bacterium. RNAcentral describes it as "partial 16S ribosomal RNA". It matches the Rfam family "Bacterial small subunit ribosomal RNA", at positions 508 to 807 of the family's 1533-position model. The record is from RNAcentral.
GCAGUAGCCGCGGUAAUACGAAGGGUGCAAGCGUUAAUCGGAAUUACUGGGCGUAAAGCGUGCGUAGGCGGUGAGUUAAGUCUGCUGUGAAAUCCCCGGGCUCAACCUGGGAAUGGCAGUGGAUACUGGCUCGCUAGAGUGUGUCAGAGGAUGGUGGAAUUCCCGGUGUAGCGGUGAAAUGCGUAGAGAUCGGGAGGAACAUCAGUGGCGAAGGCGGCCAUCUGGGACAACACUGACGCUGAGGCACGAAAGCGUGGGGAGCAAACAGGAUUAGAUACCCCAGUAGUCCCUGUCUCUUAUAC